This 465-nucleotide ribosomal RNA is filed under the name uncultured bacterium. RNAcentral's name for it is "partial 16S ribosomal RNA". It matches the Rfam family "Bacterial small subunit ribosomal RNA", at positions 28 to 507 of the family's 1533-position model. The record is from RNAcentral.
GACGAACGCUGGCGGCGUGCUUAACACAUGCAAGUCGAACGGAAAGGCCCCUUUGGGGGUACUCGAGUGGCGAACGGGUGAGUAACACGUGAGUAACCUGCCCUUGACUUCGGGAUAACUUCAGGAAACUGGGGCUAAUACCGGAUAGGAAUCCUUGCUGCAUGGUGGGGGUUGGAAAGCUUCGGCGGUUUUGGAUGGACUCGCGGCUUAUCAGCUUGUUGGUGGGGUAGUGGCUUACCAAGGCUUUGACGGGUAGCCGGCCUGAGAGGGCGACCGGCCACAUUGGGACUGAGAUACGGCCCAGACUCCUACGGGAGGCAGCAGUGGGGGAUAUUGCACAAUGGGCGGAAGCCUGAUGCAGCAACGCCGCGUGCGGGAUGACGGCCUUCGGGUUGUAAACCGCUUUCAGCAGGGGCGAAGCUUGUGGUGACGGUACCUGCAGAAGAAGCACCGGCUAACUACGUG